AUGAACGCUGGCGGCGUGCCUAAUCCAUGCAAGUCGAGCGAACAGACGAGGAGCUUGCUCCUCUGACGUUAGCGGCGGACGGGUGAGUAACACGUGGAUAACCUACCUAUAAGACUGGGAUAACUUCGGGAAACCGGAGCUAAUACCGGAUAAUAUAUUGAACCGCAUGGUUCAAUAGUGAAAGACGGUUUUGCUGUCACUUAUAGAUGGAUCCGCGCCGCAUUAGCUAGUUGGUAAGGUAACGGCUUACCAAGGCAACGAUGCGUAGCCGACCUGAGAGGGUGAUCGGCCACACUGGAACUGAGACACGGUCCAGACUCCUACGGGGGGCAGCAGUAGGGAAUCUUCCGCAAUGGGCGAAAGCCUGACGGAGCAACGCCGCGUGAGUGAUGAAGGUCUUCGGAUCGUAAAACUCUGUUAUUAGGGAAGAACAAAUGUGUAAGUAACUAUGCACGUCUUGACGGUACCUAAUCAGAAAGCCACGGCUAACUACGUG
This 496-nucleotide ribosomal RNA is filed under the name uncultured bacterium. RNAcentral describes it as "partial 16S ribosomal RNA". It matches the Rfam family "Bacterial small subunit ribosomal RNA", at positions 29 to 507 of the family's 1533-position model. The record is from RNAcentral.